AGUGAACGCUGGCGGUAGGCCUAACACAUGCAACUCGAACGGCAGCACAGUAAGAGCUUGCUCUUACGGGUGGCGAGUGGCGGACGGGUGAGGAAUACAUCGGAAUCUACUUUUUCGUGGGGAAUAACGUAGGGAAACUUACGCUAAUACCGCAUACGACCUACGGGUGAAAGCAGGGGAUCUUCGGACCUUGCGCGAUUGAAUGAGCCGAUGUCGGAUUAGCUAGUUGGCGGGGUAAAGGCCCACCAAGGCGACGAUCCGUAGCUGGUCUGAGAGGAUGAUCAGCCACACUGGAACUGAGACACGGUCCAGACUCCUACGGGAGGCAGCAGUGGGGAAUAUUGGACAAAGGGCGCAAGCCUGAUCCAGCCAUACCGCGUGGGUGAAGAAGGCCUUCGGGUUGUAAAGCCCUUUUGUUGGGAAAGAAAAGCAGCAGGUUAAUACCCCGCUGUUCUGACGGUACCCAAAGAAUAAGCACCGGCUAACUUCGUG
RNAcentral lists this ribosomal RNA (492 nucleotides) under uncultured bacterium. RNAcentral's name for it is "partial 16S ribosomal RNA". It matches the Rfam family "Bacterial small subunit ribosomal RNA", at positions 29 to 507 of the family's 1533-position model. The record is from RNAcentral.